GCAGUCGCCACGGGAAUACAGAGGGUGCGAGCGUUAAUCGGAUUUACUGGGCGUAAAGCGUGCGUAGGCGGCUAAUUGAGUCGGAUGUGAAAUCCCCGAGCUUAACUUGGGAAUUGCAUUCGAUACUGGUUAGCUAGAGUGUGGGAGAGGAUGGUAGAAUUCCAGGUGUAGCGGUGAAAUGCGUAGAGAUCUGGAGGAAUACCGAUGGCGAAGGCAGCCAUCUGGCCUAAUACUGACGCUGAGGUACGAAAGCAUGGGGAGCAAACAGGAUUAGAUACCCCAGUAGUCCCUGUCUCUUAUAC
Molecule: ribosomal RNA, 302 nt
Filed under: uncultured bacterium
Lineage: Bacteria
Description: partial 16S ribosomal RNA
Rfam family: Bacterial small subunit ribosomal RNA
Source: RNAcentral